Molecule: long non-coding RNA, 356 nt
Filed under: Eutrema salsugineum
Lineage: Eukaryota; Viridiplantae; Streptophyta; Magnoliopsida; Brassicales; Brassicaceae
Description: long non-coding RNA (ESAL_LNC001088)
Source: RNAcentral
UCCGUUUGGGCUCAAGGCGGGACCUUCAGGCGCAGGUGGAGAGGCGGCAGGGACAUCUGCCGGAGAAGGAGCGGCCGACGGUGGAGUAGUGGCGGGGGCUGGGGUCGCGGCCGGUGGUGAACUGGUGGUUGGGGCUGGGGUUGCGGCUGGUGGUGGGGUGGCCAUUGGAGGAGGAGUGGCGGCGGGAGGAGGAGUUGCGACAGGAGGAGGAGUAGCGGCUGGCGGCGGAGGAGUGGCGGUCGGAGUAGGAGCUGGUGCUUGAGCAAUUGCUGACGUGGCGAAGAGAGCCAAUAUCAAGAAAACUUGGACAAUUUUGGAACCCAUCUUAAUUUGUCCCUCUUUCUCGAGGAAAUGCU